Molecule: ribosomal RNA, 479 nt
Filed under: uncultured bacterium
Lineage: Bacteria
Description: partial 16S ribosomal RNA
Rfam family: Bacterial small subunit ribosomal RNA
Source: RNAcentral
GAUGAACGCUAGCGGGAGGCCUAACACAUGCAAGCCGAGCGGUAUUGUUUCUUCGGAAAUGAGAGAGCGGCGUACGGGUGCGUAACACGUGUGCAACCUGCCUUUAUCUGGGGGAUAGCCUUUCGAAAGGAAGAUUAAUACUCCAUAAUAUAUUGAACGGCAUCGUUUAAUAUUGAAAGCUCCGGCGGAUAGAGAUGGGCACGCGCAAGAUUAGCUAGUUGGUGAGGUAACGGCUCACCAAGGCGAUGAUCUUUAGGGGGCCUGAGAGGGUGAUCCCCCACACUGGUACUGAGACACGGACCAGACUCCUACGGGAGGCAGCAGUGAGGAAUAUUGGUCAAUGGGUGCAAGCCUGAACCAGCCAUCCCGCGUGAAGGACGACUGCCCUAUGGGUUGUAAACUUCUUUUGUAUAGGGAUAAGCCUACCCUCGUGAGGGUAGCUGAAGGUACUAUACGAAUAAGCACCGGCUAACUCCGUG